This is an RNA transcript of Rhineura floridana, 6752 nucleotides long. It is a transcript of the gene named kinesin light chain 4, with no coding region annotated. NCBI's taxonomy places the organism in Eukaryota, Metazoa, Chordata, Lepidosauria, Squamata, Rhineuridae. The transcript has 15 exons. The record is from RefSeq and is a predicted model, not a curated record.
GACUUGGGAGGAGCUAGAAUGAGAUUUGUUUUUCCUUUCCGUCGGGAACUGCCGACACCGCCUCGUGGGGGGGAGGGAAAUGAUCGUGUGAGCCCUUUGCGCAUGCGUAGCUAGCCAUCCAUCCUAUGAUUCUCUUCCUGAAGAACCUAGAAAAAGCAUCAGGUGGGGAUCGUAGCUGAAUGACUAUGUCCACAAUGGUAUAUCCCAGAGAGGAGAAAAUGGACAAGCUAAGCCAAGAGGAGAUCAUCUCAAACACCAAGCUUGUGAUGCAGGGGCUAGAGGCCCUAAAGAAUGAGCAUAACUCAAUCCUGCACAGCCUGCUGGAGACCAUCAAGUGUCUGAAGAAGGAUGAGGAAGCCAAUCUAGUGCACGAGAAAGCCAACCUGCUGCGCAAAUCUGUAGAGAUGAUUGAGCUGGGGCUUGGAGAGGCUCAGGUGAUGAUGGCUUUAUCAAACCACCUGAAUGCAGUGGAGUCUGAGAAGCAGAAAUUGCGGGCCCAGGUGCGCAGGCUGUGCCAGGAGAACCAGUGGCUGCGGGACGAGCUGGCAAACACCCAGCAGAAGCUGCAGCGCAGCGAGCAAACGGUGGCACAACUUGAGGAGGAAAAGAAGCAUCUGGAGUUUAUGAACCAGCUGAAGAAGUACGAUGAGGACGUGUCCCCGUCGGAGGAGAAAGAAGGUGACUCCACCAAAGAUUCCUUGGAUGACUUGUUUCCAAAUGAGGAAGAGGACCAGGGUCAAGAGUUGCCUCAUCCACACAGCAGCGCAGCAGCAGCUGCCCAGCAAGGUGGCUACGAGAUCCCGGCGCGCCUGCGCACGCUCCAUAACCUGGUGAUCCAGUAUGCUUCCCAGGGACGCUAUGAGGUGGCCGUACCUCUCUGCAAACAGGCGCUGGAGGACUUGGAGAAGACGUCGGGCCACGAUCAUCCGGAUGUAGCCACCAUGCUCAACAUCUUGGCCUUAGUAUAUAGGGAUCAGAACAAAUACAAGGAGGCAGCUCACCUUCUGAACGAUGCACUGUCCAUUAGGGAGAAGACACUUGGCAAGGACCAUCCUGCCGUUGCAGCAACCCUGAAUAACCUGGCUGUUCUCUAUGGCAAAAGAGGGAAAUACAAGGAGGCAGAACCAUUAUGCAAGCGAGCACUGGAAAUCCGGGAAAAGGUACUAGGCAAAGAUCACCCGGAUGUGGCCAAGCAGUUAAAUAACUUGGCUUUACUAUGCCAGAAUCAGGGCAAAUAUGAAGAGGUAGAAUAUUAUUACUGCCGGGCACUGCAGAUCUACGAGUCUCGCCUGGGGCCUGAUGACCCAAAUGUGGCUAAAACAAAGAACAAUCUGGCCUCCUGUUACCUGAAGCAAGCCAAAUAUAAGGACGCAGAAGUUCUCUACAAGGAGAUCCUCACCCGUGCCCAUGUGAAGGAAUUCGGCUCUGUGGAUGAUGAACACAAGCCUAUAUGGAUGCAUGCAGAAGAAAGGGAGGAGAUGAGCAAGAGCACGCACAGAGAAAGCACCCCAUAUGCAGAGUAUGGCGGCUGGUACAAGGCAUGCAAGGUCAGCAGCCCCACAGUGAACACCACCCUGCGGAACCUGGGUGCACUCUACAGGCGUCAGGGCAAACUGGAGGCUGCAGAAACUUUGGAAGAGUGUGCAAUGCGGUCCAGGAGACAGGGCAUUGACCCCAUUAACCAGACCAAGGUGGUAGAGAUUCUGAAAGAGGGCGACGGCUCUGAGAGGCGGAGGAGCCGAGACAGCCUGGGGGGCAGCGUCAAAUAUGAGAGCGCCACAGAUGGUAGCGAGGAAGUGAGUAUGGGCGUAGAAUGGAAUGGGAUGUUCAAGGGUACAGAGCAACUUGCUUGAGCCUUAAAGGAUGCCAAGGCCAUGGAUCUGCUAGAACUUCCUCUCAAGCUGAAAGGAGGCAGUGUCCAUGUUGGAUAUCUGUGCUGCAGUGUCCUGGCCUUAAGGCAUCUAAGAAUGGCUUAAAUGCCUGCUGAGACUCCUUUUCCCCCUCCACCUCCCCACAACCCCCAUUCACCACCAUCACCCGGACGCUUGUGUGCUGCUCCUUCCAGCUCUCCCCCUCCAAACCAUCUCCCCUUCUUCCACCUGCUGUGCUCAGCAAGGACUCCACAGCAGUCCCCCAGCCUUCCAUCACAGUGGGCACUGAGGAGCAGAGCAGCACCCGCAGACGAGGAGCGUCCAGCUGGCUGCACCAGGCUCGACUGCUACUAUAUCAACCAGCGAGAAAGAGAAAGAAGAAACUCUGUGAAUCUGCCUUUUCUCCCCCCCCCACGCAGCUCACCUCUGCCAGGGCUGGAUUUCAGCAGGACUCCUUGUGACUUCCUCGGUUCUCUUUCCUAUGUCUUAACGGGAGCCCGAAUGAACAUUUUCUGCUGUCUGAAGAUGUCCUUGUUCUCCCCAUUAUCUGCCCUGUUCAUCCUGGGUCCUUUCCACAUUCACAGCCUCCCAUCAUCCCUCUCCUUAUCUUGGAGUGUAAACUCAGAUUUUUUUUCUGCCUCCCAUUUUAGCUCUCUCCCCCAUCCUUGUCUUUUCCUCUGCCUCUUUUUUUUUCUUUCCCUUGAUGCUAAAGCGGAAGGUGGGGAGGGAAUAGGCAUUGGGAUAUCCCUAGCUUCAGACUGCAGGGAAAGUUAGGGAGAUGGUUGAAUUGUACUCUGUGGCCAGAGUGGGCAUGUGGCUCUCCUGAUGUUGUCGUUGGGCUCCCAACUUACCCUGGGGCCUUAUGGGUGAAGGGCAUGUGAGAAAUCAAAUAGAUAAAUAACUCUCAUCAGCCCCAGCCUGCAUGGGUGGUUGACAGGGAUGACAGGAGUUGUAGCGCAGCAAUAUCUGGAGGGCUACACGUUCCCCGUCCCUGCUCUUUGCUCUGUGUUUCUUUCCUGUUAAUCUGGUCAAGUGUGGGAUGCCAACAUGUCAUCUUGUAUGCCUGCAGCAGCAGCAGCUUAAAGGCCUUGCAGCCACCUUCUCGUAGUGAUUGGGCCUGAGGCCUGUACAGAUAGAGAUGGAUGUUGCUUCAAGCCUGUCUCCAUUCUCCUUGUUGGAUCCUUUUAGCCUAUCCUUACAGGCUUGUAAAAAGGACGAUGGAGCACAUCGUAAGAGAAUAAAAGUAUUGAAGGAUGUGCCAGGGCAAAAGUUGAAGAGACAGAAGUAUGAGCUGUGACUUCCUAAGGAGGACCUUAUUUUGACUGAGCUGGACAUAGUCUACCUCCCAAAUGGAAUGGAGGCAUUGAAGGUGGGUAGGCUAUAGGAGCAGGGACAGCCAUGGACAGUGUUCUCAUAAUAGAUCCAGUACUGGCCCUUCUGAUUAGACUUUAGUCUGGAUGUCUUCUGGCAGUCUAGCACUUCAAGAUGCCUGCAUUUCAGAAGAAACGGCCUCUCUAGGACUAUGAACUUGGGAAUGUUUCCUUGCACAAUUCCAUUUUCACAAGAGGAGCGAUAAUUGUAGGCGAGGGUGACUCGGCCACCACUGUUUUGUUGCCAUUCCUCCCAUGGGGCAAGGGGAAUGUGAUUGCAUAUUUACAUCUCUUUAAUUUAUUGUCAUGAACGUAACGUUUUUAUCAUGCUGUUGUUUAACACUGGAGAUUGCAAGGUCCCAGCCAAAAGUCACAAAAAACAAAACACACAUAGCGAUAAAUUUGGUGUGUCAGUAGCAACUGAAGCUGCUCCUUAUUUAAAAGUCUGGCCAAGUGAAGAGGGAGUUUGAACCACACAACCUAUACAAGAAGUCUGAAAUCUAAGGCUCUAGCAUGCAAGAGCAAGGAGCAGAGGCGAGCAGUAAUAGAUAGCUUCAGUUUUAAAUUUGGGGUAGGUUGGCCCACUGUGAUGGGACAUCCGAAAGAUUUUAAUGGAGGGGGAAAGAAUGUUGUUUUGGGGGUAUGAAAGUCUGUAGUAGAAGUGGGCUAGAAGUGUUUAUGAGAUGUGCAAUCGUAAUUGUGUUGGCUUGGAAGAUAAAUCUGCCUGGGUUCAAUGGCAUUUAUUCCCAGUCCCAGGUACAUAAGAUUGUAGCCUUUGUGGGCGCCAUGUCACUGAAUGCAUGAGGACAUGGCUUUAUAGGGAGCUGAGAUGGCAGUUUGGGGCAAGGAGAGGGAGAGAGGUUGUUCCUUCAUAAAGUGGGGUUUGCAGCAUGUUGACAGAUUUUGGGGGGUCUGUGUGAGGAUUUAGAGUUAGAAUGUUGGGCACGUUGGAUUAAAACUGAUUAGAGAGAGAGAAUACUAAGGUGCUAACUGGAAGGGAGUUGUUGCAUUUUCUGCACAGCAGAAUAGAAACCAAGUUUGGAGAGAUCUGGGGACGUGCUGGAGAGAAGUCUGCUGGCAUGUAAAGCAAUGUGGGGGGGAGAGGGGAACCUUUUUUGGCCCAAGAGCUGUAUUACUUCAUGGGUGACCUUCCAGGGACCACACAGCCAGUGUGGGCAGGACUAAAUCUAAAAAUGUGCUCGUGGCGGCUAUAUUCACACUCGGCUAACACACAUCCAUACACACUCUCCUCAUCUGUCGUCCCCCACCCACCCACCCACCCGCUUCCGCUGCCUGCUGCCUCGUAGUGCUACAGGCAGGGCCAAGCUGGCGACACAGGGCUACCUCCCUCCCUCAUCGGCUUGCUGCGUUUCCUUGCUGUGUGUGCGGAGAGAACCCCUCACCCCACCCUGUUUCUGAGCACACAGCAAAGGAGACAAGCAAGUGGGUGAUUCAGGAAAAGAGCAGGCUCUUCCUCCAUUGCCAGUGAACCUUGCCUCUCCGUGGGCCCUGUUUCCUCCACUUAGAUGAGCAGUGCUGACCCUUGCUUCCCAGGGAUCUCCCUCCCCCUUGCACUGCUCAGCUGAUCCACAGUAAAUAACUGAGAAGAAGGGAAGGUGGGGCUGCCAAGUUGGGGUGGCGGCCCAGGCAAGGAAAGAGGGCUGGCUAUAUUUGCCCUGCAGGUUCCCCAUCCCUAGCGAUGCCUGAGGGGAAACCUGGGUGUUAGGAUUUUCUGGACUGGGAAUCCAGCUUCUAAGCUUGCACUGGUGUUGGAUAUAGGACUCCUUUAUGUUUCUGAGGGGUAACCUGGUGCUUUGAGCCUCUUCCAGGGCAUGUGAGAGGAUUUUUUUCUCCAUCUCUCAUUCCCAUGCAUAGCUUUUGUGCCUGUUUUUGAUGUGAUUCAAUGUUUUUGUGAGUAUAGCUGGCUUUAAAGGAAGAUGACGGCGACUAGAUAUGUUUAUAAAUUAGAAUUAGAGCUAGGUGUUAGGUAAGAUGUAUGCACCCUUUUGCUUCUGGUGCCCAUAACUAUUGACUGCUGGACGCUGGAACUGAAUCACUAGAGUAUGCCAUUUUUGGCCUGUGCUGUUCUUUUUUGAAGCAGCUGGAGUUGCUCACUGCUGGAGGCUGAAUGCCCAGACCCAGAACGGAGGUUCUCAGGUGGAGUUGUGCAGCAGGAUGCUUUGAAAGCUGUAGGGCCUAAAUGCCUUUUGUAGCUCCUUUUGGGAAUCCCUUUGCUGCUGUAGUGGAGCUUUCUGCUUUGCCCUUCUGCUUCUGAAAAGGGGCUGCUCAUGCAUGCCUGGGGCAGGGGAGCUGCUGCCUCCCCUACAAAGGGAGCAGGUAGUGAGAGGUGUGACCCAUCUGGAGGUGACGCAAGCAGAGCUUGGACAAGUUACUUUUUUUGAACUACAACUCCCAUCAGCCCCAGCCAGCAUGGCUGCUGGAUUGGGCUGAUGGGAGUUGUAGUUCAAAAAAGUAAAUUUUCCAAGCUCUGCACAAGCUGCAAUUGCAAAGAGUUUCUUAGACUAGUUUUACCCAAGGUUGUGGUCCUGGCCUGCAUGGGGAGGGGGAGGGGGGUCUCACCCAGGAUGCUGUGAAGAAGCCUCUGGAGCCUGUCCUGGAAAGCUGCUCCCAGUGGCUCCCCUUAGAGUGAUGGAGCUUUUAUCAGCUGUCUGCCCAGCUCUACGUUUUGCCUUGCACUGGGCUGCCCACAAGCCUUUUCCUUUCCUUUUUCUCUUUUUUAACAGCAGUAGUUGGGGGUACUGAAAAUGUGUUCCACUCUCUGCCUUUGACACAUACUUGGUGCUUUCCUUUAAUGGUGUGAACUGAUUUACCUCCAAUUAAAGGCAGAAGGACUUGAACCCCUUCUUCUCUGUGACUCUUUUCACUAUGCGAUAUUCUUCUUUUAAGUAUUGUUGUCUCUUUCCUCUGAGGAGAAAUCUUUAGGCUUCGGUGCACUGCUGAUUCUCUGUUGUGAAGAUCAGCCAGCAAAGAGACCUUAGAAACGUGUGUAUAGUAAGAAUGAAGCACCCGACUCGUGCGUGUGUAUCCCUGUGUGUGUGUGCAUGUGCCUAUGAUGGAGAGCGCGAGAGAGGCAUGCCUGUGGAAAGGAAUCACUGCUCCCUGUAGAGUAACCACCAUGCACACAACCACUCAAUCAAACUGGAGGUGAAAACAGAAGCUUUAAGAAGAUUUGCUUUUUCAAAAUGAUUGCUGAUUGGUACGGUCUGUUUUUCAGUGUUCUGAGAAUCCACACCUCUAAGGGAAAAUGUUUCAUGCAUUUAUAGGAAUAAUAAAAUAUUAAUCAUUGCUGUGGAACAGUAGCAUGCAUACAGUUCAGCAGUGGACCUGGAUUCAUGUCCACUUCCCUGUACUGUUUCUUCUCUCUCUUGCCCCAAGCUUCCCUUGCUAGUCCCGGUUGCUUUCCAGGGCAUCACAGUACACCAGCGCUGCAAGCCCCAGCAAGAAUGUGUAUCUUGUUCCUCAUUUUCUUCCAGCUUCCAUAUUCCAAGAA